AACGCACAUAGCGCCCGCCGGCCAUUCCGGCGGGCAUGCCUGUCCGAGCGUCGAUGACGCCUUUCGAGCCCAUCUGAUGGGCUCGGUGUUGGGGCGCUAGGUAACCCUAGGCCCCCAAGCAGUAGUGCGCGGUCCGGCUGCGGGCCCCGGGUACAGUAACUUCACCGUUAGAUGCCCUGGGAGAAGCAGUUAGGCUUGCCGUAAAACCCCCGACAUAGGGACCCCCGCAAGGGAGGAACCGCCAUAUGUUGACCUCGGAUCAGGUAGGACUACCCGCUGAACUUAA
This 286-nucleotide unclassified non-coding RNA is filed under the name uncultured Hypocreales. RNAcentral describes it as "sequence contains 5.8S rRNA gene, ITS2, 28S rRNA gene". The record is from RNAcentral. Lineage: Eukaryota; Fungi; Ascomycota; Sordariomycetes; Hypocreales.